RNA transcript from Tyto alba (common barn owl), 9353 nucleotides. It is a transcript of the gene named TSC22 domain family member 2, with no coding region annotated. Lineage: Eukaryota; Metazoa; Chordata; Aves; Strigiformes; Tytonidae. The record is from RefSeq and is a predicted model, not a curated record. The transcript is spliced from 6 exons.
AGUCCUCGGCAAGGCAUGCGAUUGCUUGCCCUAUGCCGUUAGACACGACCUGCAAAGAAUGCACAAGAAAUUAUAUUCCCUUCCUACCUUGUUUUUGAUAUGUAAAGAAAGCUUUGUUUGUUUCUUUAAAUAAUUCUGUUGUAUAUCUCAGGAAUGCCUGUGAUGCUCAGUCUGUGACAUUUGAGGAAAGCUUUUAGAAAUCUCACACACAAGCUUCACAGAUUUAUUCUAUCUAUUACCAUUGCGCAGGGUCUUAGUCACUCUGCAGCCCUCCCGUGAAGCUGGGCUUUAAUCCCUACCACUGAAAGAACCCCACUUCCUAAUUUUAAGAAGAAACAUGUUCAACUACUUCAGUUCAUCUUUAUUUCUCUUCAGUGAACAAAUGAGGGCACGAGCCAAAAUCUUUUGUCUCUAUCACAGCUAAUAUUAAUAGGUGAGCAGGAAAUAAUUUUGUCACAUUGCUCCUCUCUGGAAGAGCCAAAACUGCUUCUUGAAUGCGAGAGGCUUAGGCACAAAAUAGGCACUAGGCUGCUCUGCAGUGUUAAGACUGAUGUGCUUACCAGUAUGUUCAGAAGAUCUUUUUCUGGGUCUCUGGCGACUGUGACUUCAGAAACACAGCUACUUGUGAGCUCAGGCAGCUGGUAAGCAGAAGUGUUGGAGCUCUGGGCUCCUGCAGUGGCUGGACCCUUCUGAAGGCUGUUGGGAGACAGAGGGUGUUUGCCAGUGCAGGAAUUGGACUCACAAGUGAGCCUAGUCCUCCAAGCCCCGAUCGCUCUUCUCUCUGGCAGCCGAUUUGCCUGUGUCUUCCCAGGUCAUAGACCACUUGUGCCUGAGCUGGUUUCCAGACUGGCUGGCAUGAGGCACCCUGCCAGGAGGAUGGAGCCCUGUGCCUCGGAGAACUCCCAGCCUGACCUUUUGUACCGAGCCAGUUGCCAACAGCUGGGAAAGGGCCCAUCGUUAAAGCUUCUCUUAACAGUUUACUGGCCAAACUAGGUGUGUUCGGCUGGCAUACUGAACUGCAGGAUUGUCGUAGUCAUCUCCUCAGGAUUCCUACAGUUGCAGGGGGGUCCCCUUUGGGUUUUCUUGGGCUGGGUUCUUUGGGGGAUGGAAGUGGGUGAGCUUUGCCUCUCUGGCUUCCCACUGCUUGCCUAUUGCUGCUACAUGACAUGGCUGCGUUUGCCUGCUCCCACAUGAAUAUAAUACCAGAUUCGGGGCAGAGGCACAGGAGAGCAGCAGCGCUUUUAUUCUUUAAAGGCCAUUUGUAAAGAUAAAGGCCUCAACACUGGUUUACUCAGGCAGGUUUUUUUCCAGUGGUAUCCAAACAAGCCCAUUUAAAGAAUUACGACAUUUUCCCCAUAUUUCUUUUACAUGCCAUUUUUCACAGACCACAAGGCAGUAUUAACUGCCUGCCAUUGCAAUAGAUUCCAAAUAGAGUGGAGCACCUGAGUCUUAUGUAGUAAUGCUGAUGCUGAGUAGCUGCUGUGUUUUUACCUAGACAAGCUCCAUGUUGCUGCGAUUACCUUAUCUUGACUGCAGGACACUGCUUUUUUGUUCUUGUUGCAAGUAAAAAAAUAGCAAUUCAUACAGUAGCAUUAUUUCACUUUACUACCAAAGUGUUAUUUCUACUGGUGGACCAGCAGGCUAUGUUGGGCAAGCGUAUGUCAGGAUGCAAAGAUACUGUAGUCCCAGCACCUAGCACUAUACAGGCCCUUGUUACAGAGACGAUCCUUUGUCCUUCAGUGCAUUAAUGAGAAAUUCCCUUCCACUUUCAGCUCUGAUAAUGGCAACUACAACACUUGCUCUAGCAGCUGAUCUAGCUAAGGGAGCGGUUGUUUUGUGUGUUUCUUGGAGGCUAAUGCAGUGCUACUGCUAAAUCUUUACAGCUCUGUCAUGUUAAUGCCAAAAAAGAGAGAGUAUUUGAUUUUCUUAAAAACAACAAACAAACCAACCACAAACCUUGCUUUUUGUGGUCAGCCCCUCACAAAUGCCCUGGACUCUGUUCAGUCCUUUCUGUUGAAUAAUUUCAGCAUAAAGCCCAUGUAAAGUUUGCUCUAAAAUGGAUUCAGGCCAAACCUUUUGUUUGUUAGUAAAGAACAAGUUAUAGACAGUAGAUCUUUCUUUCUUGUUUAAUAUGUAUAAGCUCCUUUUACAAGCUCUAUCCAAAGAACAUGCAGUUAAUUACUCAAGGCAUCUUGUUAUUUGGAGCCACUGCUUGUAGGGGACGUGAAACUGCUUUUGAGAAAGCGCAAGCAGUUCUUUGUGACUGUUUUGGUCCCCAUCGUAGGGCCCAGCCGAGCACUGCGUGUUCCUCUGGUGCCGAGGGCAGACCCUCGCUGUGUGCCAUUCCCUCGGUGUGCCCGCGCAGGGGAGGAAGAGCUGACGUUAGGGAACCGCACCUGGGAACGGAAUCGAGCAGCAUGAGAGGAGAGUUUGGGCGGCUGCCGGGGCAACGGGAGUGGAGCUGCCUCCUCUGCUUUCCCAUCUGGCCAGUCCUUUCCACGCCAGAGUGGAGCUGGGCAGGGGUGCAGAGGUGGUCCCCGCUCUCGCGGUGACACUAGAUGCUUGUUUUUUCCAAAGCGGGUCACUGAUGUUUUCAGAUAAGUGCUGUGAGCUGGUGGUGAUGCAGAUCUGUCUUUCUGCGUAGCCGCCAGCGGAUGGGCAGCCCUUCUGCUUCCAGCAGAGCCUGGCCGUUCCUGAAAGGGCUGGCCCGUGGCUCUGCUGUGCCCCUUCUCCCAGCCCAGGGGAACAGCGGUGGCAUCGUGCACCUUUAAGGAACGGCCCCCGGCAUCGGGGAUCCCUGCGCCCUUCCUCAGGGUGCCCGGGAGGGGUGUGCUGGGGAAGCCUGAGCCUGGUAAGCAGGCAGAGGCGGCCCAAACAGGGGGAUGCCCUUCUGUUAGUCCUGUUCCUGCUCCCCGGAUACAGGCUGGGAACCUCCGUGCUGCGAGAGCACCGCAGGAGCUCCCCGGCCUCCCUCGUCCCCCGGCGCUGGGCGUGGGGAGCAGGGCAGAGCGCUUCUUCUUGCCCGCAGCCCACGGGUGCCAGCCUGCCGCCCGCUCCGCCGCUGCCGGGGCCGUGCGGGUGGCCGGCCGGCGUGUCCCGUGCGCCCUGGGCACCCGGGGCGGGAACUGCUCUUCCUCCCGUGCCACGCUGGCGUGCAAAGCGGAGGCUCGGUGUUAAUCCCCCGGGGAGCAGCGGUGGGAGCUGCCUGUUAGGGCCGUGGCACUGCAAUCAGGCCCGGGCGCUUAGCGAGGGAGCGUUGCGGCUCGGCUCUGGCGCCGCGGGAGCACGUGUUCUCCCGGGAAGCGAGCGGGGCCGAGCCCGGGCAUGAGCCGCGGCUUUGGGCGGAGGCACAAGCCGGAGGCCUGGCCCUCGGGGUUGCUGGCUUCCAUUCCCGGGCUGAGCAGGGCGCGGGCCAGUAGCCAGGGCAGGAGCCUGGAGUCCCUCCGAGGAGACUCCGCACAGCGCGGGACAGAGCCCCAGUGUCUGCGCUGCUGCCGGCCGUUGUGCCCGCCCUCGGACUACAGCUGCUCUUUCACCCCAGAAGGCAGGAAACAUCCCACGGCAGAGACGGUUGCCGCUCCGUAAAUAGCAAACCGAGUGACCUAAUUCAGCGCAGCGGCAGCUCCUCGGAGGCGUCCCUCGGCAGGCUCCAUGGCAGGCCGUGCUGGAGCUGACUCAUCACUUCCAGCGUGGCAGAGAUUGGAGCUUUCGGGCCCCAAGGAUUUCACUGUUUCUUUAUUAAUUUUAAAUUGAUUAAAAUGAGUUUUUAAAAUACCAGGAGAGACUUGCCUGAAGAAGUGCGUAUUAAAAAAAAAGAAGGAAGUGGUUGGUCUGUGGGAGUUAACUGUGUGCCUGACAGCCUCUCUGGCUCAUUGUGAGCACCCAUGGCAGCUUGGAAGAGUCUUAUGUCAGCUACUCUGUCCCGGUGGAUUAACAAAACCAGGAUUAAUCUGACAUUAUUAUAAAAAAGUGAGAAUUAUAGACUAUCCUUGCUAAUAGCCAGUGCAAACCCACCUCUGUCCUCAUCCAUGGCAGGAUGGUAUUACAGGCUUCUGCUCUCAGCUACAAGGCUCUGUCCAGAAGUCAGGAUCUCCUAGGGGAGAGCAUCCCAUUCUCUCCCAGCAUCGCCCAGUGCCUGACAAACCUCAUGUGGUCCAGAGGCUCCCUGGGGUAGCCUGUGGGGUGUCUUGUACCAGAACAGGCUGUCGGGUCCUCUGCUCAGCCUCCACGUAAGGGUGCCAUAGCAAGCGUAGGCAGUAACAGAUGGGUGGAGGAUCCUUUUUCCCGCUGUCAGAGGGCAGUUGCAAACGAGCUUUUCCCCUGGGCCAUUCUCACUUGCUGUUCUUGCCCCCGCUCUGCCGAGUGGAAGCUGCCUUACACUGUGAAGCAAGAGGAUUCCUGUUCCUCGUAAUUUCCAUCUGCUCCAACGUAACUGCCUAAGUCAACGUUAUGAAGACAUUUAAAGCUUUUCCCUCUGCCUUUCCCCUUUCACACUGAUGGGGAGGUGGGUGCCAUCUACCAUCCAGCCAGCACCCCAGGGUCACCCGCGGACCCACCCGCGCCGGCACCAGGAAGGACCCUUCCAUGCCAUGGUGGACUCCAGGGGUGUCGCAACCCCUUUCUUGGAGGCUAAGAAGCAGGGGCUGAGCCCUCUCCACACAGGGAGUUCUCCCUGAAGGCUCAUCCUGGGGACACCAUCCCUCCGCAUCCCACCCGCUGCUGUGGAGGGGGAAGGUCUCAAAAGCUGAACUGCUUUAAAUUCACAUGCCAAACCAGAACCUAAUUUUCCUGACUCUGCGCCUUGCACUCAGUUAUCAGCCUUGCCUGCAGUGCUGUAAGGCAGGUAUUGCUGUGGAAGAGCCUGGCUGAUGGGAGACACGUAGUUCCGAUUCACUCCCUGAGCAUCAAGUGGUGUCAGCUGGGAUGGCUGGAGAAGCCCCUCUCUUUCCCUCAUCCUCUAAGAUCAGGAUUACGAACCUUUCUGCAGCAAGAUUUGAAACAGCCAGAUUCUGACUUAGAUCACAGUCCCUAGGAUUCGCUUGUGAUUUCCGAGUACCGUGAGUUGCAAAGAAUGAUGGAAGCAGACAAUGUUAGUGCUGGUAACAGAAGCUGAAAUAUUGCCUGUCAUGGAAAAGAUGAACAGGCCAAUUCCACAUCACCUUUCUUUUCUGAGACCUCAGUGUGGCUCCACUGCACACCAGGAAAUGAUGCAGAGGUCAGGCUGGAGUGAGCAAGGAAGACUCUGUCCCCAAGUGAUUUUAUGGUCUUUGUAGAUGCCUGAAGUAACCAGAGCAAGUGGCUGGUGCCCGGAAUAUGCAAAUGCAGCAUCAAGAAGGUACUAGAAUCCCAAACUGGAUUUGCAGCUCAGACUUGACUUACGCUUUUCUUCUUUCUGCCUCUAAGCCACAAAUGAUUCAAAAUACAGCAGAGAGUAAGGCUGAGAACAACUAUGUAAAUGCUAACAGCCAAACCAAACAGAUGAAACCACACAGGGGCCUAUUCAGCCCAGAAGUAAUUGCCAAUAACUGGUUUAUUAACAGACAGCCACAGACUCUCCUGGAGAAACAGCACUCUUCAGGCAACUGUUCCAUAUAAUGCUGUAAUUUCCAUCAAUUAUUUACAUAAUUCUUUAGGCGUGCACAACUGUCUGUGACGCGUUAUGCUGAACAGAGGAAAAGGCCUGCUCCAGACUGAUCCCACACCACAAUCAGGGGCAGCACAACGUAGUAUGGAAGAAGUAAAGGUACCCAUCAUGAAGAAGAGCAUAUUAUGCUAAAGACCUGUCUGCUGGUCUGUACAAAUGUUCAUCUUGGAUUUUAACAUAUCUCAGUUAAGAAAAACACAGCUUGCACCGACAUUUAAUGGGUUCUGCCAUUGACUUGAAAGGGGUCAGGAUCAGGCUAACAACAACUGAUGUGAUUUAAUAACAUUCAUCGUUCCUAUUUGCACUUUAAAUGUGUUUCCACGUGGGUAACAGUUUCCAUUUGCUCUCAUUUGUUGGUCAUGUUAAUUUUUUUUCAUUAGUUUUUUGACUUAGUGCCUGUUAUUUUCCAUAUAGUAGACAAUGAAUACUGAAAAGAAAAAAAGAGCAAUUUUGUUAGGGUCAGGGAAGAGGAAAUUUCCAUGCUUUUUGUCACAUGAGACUUUAAGAAGAGCCUAAAGCUAAAUACUGCAGCUACUAUUCCCUGGUUCUCUUGAUAGUUAGUGGCCUUUAUAAAUGCAAAAAUCCUACUUAGACAUUCAAGUAACUCAUUUGCCCUUUUCUAUGCCCUUCUUCCCUCCAGCAGUCUGCAACCUGGAAUUUGUCUUCCAGGUCUUGCAGUCAAUGUCUUGCAGCUUGAAAUUCAAAAGGACUUGAAAUUCAAAUCACCAUUGCAUCUCAGUCUGAUUUGAAAUAAUUUGUGGUAAUUUAGAUGAGGUUUAAAACCAAGAAUAAUUUGGGUAACUGUCUUACUGUCUAGCACCACUAGCUUAAUAAAAUGGAAAAUGUACAGUCUACAGUGAAGGAAAGGUAUUUCUGAUAUUACUGUUUAUUUUAAAAUUUAAGAUGUUAACGCAGGAUCUUGAUACAAGAGUCAUCUGAAACGGAGUGCACUCUUAAAAUACUGAACUGGUAAACCCCAGCUCACAUACAUGAAAGUUGAAUUUUUAGUAACUCCUAAAUUUCUGAUCAAACUUGAAAAGAAACUAGUGAUAAUUUAAUUGCUUAUUGCUUGUCCAUUAUUGUGCCAGUAUGUUACUAUUUCUAAGACAGUAUCACACAGCCUGACCAAAAUUCAGGUCUCAGUAUUCAGCACACAGAAAAAAGCAGGCAGAGCCCUGUAAGCUUCCCUGUAUCUGCAGACAAGGCAGGAUGAUAGAUGGGACAGAAAAAAAAAAAAAAAGGCACAAAGAAGGAAAAAUAACUUGUACAAGGCCAUACUGCAGAUAAAUGCCAACUUAGGUGUAAGACUGAAGUUAAAAAACUAAUCCCCUGAAAUUUUCCUACUGACUUCCACAGAAACAAUUUCAAUCUGGCCUCCUGAUAAUUGGGUAAAUGCCUUAUCUGUUAGAUCACACUGCUUCCCCAGGCUACUUUUUAAUCUUCAACAAUAAUCACCUAAUGUUAUUAAGGCUAGGAAAUCUGAACCUAUGAACUCUAGAUACCAAAAAAUAGUCCAAUUCCCUUUGAGAAUUCCUAGAGCUUUCUUUUAAAAAACAUUGCGUUUUUAUUGUUAGCAUUAGGGACUUUCAAAUUUUUAAAUUUCUAUAUACACUUGUUAAUAUACAUCUUUAUACACACAUGCAUACAUCUCUAGAUGUGAGCGUGUGUGUGCCUGUGUAAACUCCAUUAAAUGUUUAGGGGUUUUAAUGUACAGCUUUUAUCCCUGUCUGAAUGUUACACAGAUUUAAGCAAUGACCAAUGGGAAGGAUCACCUUUUGCCCCUUCAAAACCGUAUAAACAAACAAACAGAACAUUUUCGUACCAUUUUCACUGGAUACAUACAUGCAGUCAGUGCUUCAGUCUUUAUAGCUUACACUCUAGAGGAGCUUCUUUUUUGUUCUUCUGUCACCUGUGACAGCACUUCUGCCCUCUCAGUCUCUGAGGCUGAGAGAUUUUGUGACAGAUACCCUUCUUAUGCAUGACUGGCGCGUGAUCCUUCAAUACCAAAAUACGCAAAUUCACCUGCAGUCCCCAAACAGUAGAACCACCAGUGUGGAAAGCUGCUAACAGCAUUGCUGCUGACACUCCGUCGAGGGAUCCUCCCGGUGAAAUGUGCAAUGGUAGCAAGUGAUGGAGAGAGUGCAGCGGAAUUACCCAAAACUCUCAAGGAGUCUGCUGCCCUCACCACCGCCUGCUACAUCUGUCCUGGCUAGAUCUCGAAAAACAGGAACACGUGCACACACACACAGAAACCGCGAGAGUCCCACACAGCUGACAUGCACAGAAACUCAAACAGGAGUCAGGUGGGAAUUUCUUUUAACUAACUGUGGCAGAUGUUUUUCUUGAAGGCAAAAAAGGAAUAUAUACAUGCUUGACACUUAAUAAAAAUAUCAGUAUGUUUGUGCCCAACAUACCAGAAUAUUGUUCAGCACUAAUUCAGCCUUGCAAAAACAUUAUCAGCGUAAUGCUGCCAAGGCCAUUGUGUGGAUUCUUUGUGUAUAUCUUGGCUAACCUGGCCAGGGGCUGUAGCAAUUUUUAUACUUGACUUUUCAGAAACCUUUCUGGUUUGUUAGCAAAUCAGUUUAUCUUGUUCAUUCUUGUUCCUCAUCCCUUCCCUAUUUUACCUUUUAUUAAUUUCCCUUUCUCCUUUGGUAGACCACACUAAAUGUCAGCCAAAUAGCCCAUUCCUCAUUACAUUUUAGGUGAUGUUAAAAAUAUUCAUAUAGACACAGCUCAUGAAUGGAUGGUUUAGCAACUUACUGUUUCAAUCCAGGAUUUAGAAUGUUAUAAUUUCAAAUGUUAAUUUAUUCUGAACAACAACAGUGACAAAUUAAUGGAUUCUAAAAUAGCAUCUUUGCUAUUUUAAAUUUCAGACCUAUCUAAAUUAGAAGACCAUGCUACUGUAUUAACACAUAUUUUCAUUCGUUAAGGUAACAAAGUGGUUGUAAAAAUGAGAAGAAAAUAACUUCUAAUUUUGGUUCACUGCACUGUCAGGAAAAACAUCUCUUCUUACAGCUUAGCAGCCAACUCUUCAGCAGCCUACUGGUAGCUGUUCAAUGUUGAAAAAGUGUUACCCUACCUGUUACGGGUCUGUGUACUUACAUGGUGGGAAAGAAUUUCAUCCCACUAUGUGUGUGUCAGUCUCCUUCCUAUAAUAAUUUUGAAAGAUCACUUACAAGGGUAGGUCUAGUAGAAUAACUUCUCCUCUGUUUUUCAGGCUCUCUUGCACUUUUAAGAUGGCACUUCCUGAGGGAGACUUUUUUGAUUUCACAUUUUACUGAGAUGAAAUGCCACACACAAAUCCGAUAGUCAAUCAAUAAGAACAUUCACAAAUACCUUAUAUCUUCAUAUAUAUCUUUAUAUAUGUAUAUGUAGAAUAUAUAUAAUUUAAAUGUACUAUUUUAAAGCAAAGAAAAUGUUAACUAUUACAGUUUGGGGGAGCUUCUGUCCCUUUUGCUCAUGAUAAACAGUCCCCCACAGACUCCCUUAUUUACUGAAAAGUGUUUGCUGGAUUGACUCACUCCUACAUUCUGGCAUCUUGCAUCUUUCCAUUGAUAUGCCUAUUAUUUAUCUGGGUGGGGUCACUGCUUUCAAAAUGUAUUUCUAUCUGGAAUGGUUUUAUCAUACAUUGUCCUGAAUGUAUUGGAUUAAUAUGCCCAAAUGCUUUCCAUUUGAAAACAGAGAAAUUAAAAAAAAUCCACAUAUAAAA